This 1242-nucleotide ribosomal RNA is filed under the name uncultured fungus. Its description in RNAcentral is "eukaryotic LSU rRNA". The stretch from base 577 to 1242 matches the Rfam family "Eukaryotic large subunit ribosomal RNA", at positions 1 to 649 of the family's 3401-position model. The record is from RNAcentral. Lineage: Eukaryota; Fungi.
AAGUCGUAACAAGGUCUCCGUAGGUGAACCUGCGGAGGGAUCAUUACCGAGUGAGGGCGUCUAACGUCCGACCUCCAACCCUUUGUGAACCAAACCCAGUUGCCUCGGGGGUGACCCGGACGCGCGAGCGUCGGGGCCCCCGGUGGACCAUUCAAAACCUGCAUCUUUGCGUCGGAGUAACUUGAUAAAUCAAUCAAAACUUUCAGCAACGGAUCUCUUGGCUCUCGCAUCGAUGAAGAACGCAGCGAAAUGCGAUAAGUAAUGUGAAUUGCAGAAUUCAGUGAAUCAUCGAAUCUUUGAACGCACCUUGCGCCCUUUGGCUAUUCCGAAGGGCAUGCCUGUUUGAGUAUCAUGAACACCUCAACUCUCAUGGUUCGCCGUGUUGAGUUUGGACCUUGGGGGUCUUGCUGGCCUACGGUCAGCUCCUCUCAAAUAGAUCAGCUUGCCAGUGUUUGGUGGCAUCACAGGUGUGAUAACUAUCUACGCUUGUGGUUUUCUACCAAGUAACCUUCAGUGAUGGAGGUUCGCUGGAGCUCAUAAACGUCUCUCCUCAGUGAAGACAGCUUUUUGAACGUUUGAUCUCAAAUCAGGUAGGACUACCCGCUGAACUUAAGCAUAUCAAUAAGCGGAGGAAAAGAAACUAACAAGGAUUCCCCUAGUAACUGCGAGUGAAGCGGGAAGAGCUCAAAUUUAAAAUCUGGCGUCCUCUGGUCGUCCGAGUUGUAGUCUGGAGAAGUGUUUUCCGUGUUGGACCGUGUAUAAGUCCCUUGGAACAGGGCGUCGUAGAGGGUGAGAAUCCCGUCUUUGACACGGACUACCAAUGCUUUGUGAUGCGCUCUCAAAGAGUCGAGUUGUUUGGGAAUGCAGCUCAAAAUGGGUGGUAAAUUCCAUCUAAAGCUAAAUAUAGGCGAGAGACCGAUAGCGAACAAGUACCGUGAGGGAAAGAUGAAAAGCACUUUGGAAAGAGAGUUAAACAGUACGUGAAAUUGCUGAAAGGGAAACGCUUGAAGUCAGUCACGUCUGCCGGGACUCAGCCUUGCUUCUGCUUGGUGUACUUUCUGGUUUGAUGGGCCAACAUCAAUUUCAACCGUUGGAGAAAGGCUUUGGGAACGUGGCACCUUAGGGUGUGUUAUAGCCCUUUGUUGUAUACGACGGUUGGGAUUGAGGGCUGCAGCACGCCUUCACGGCCGGGGUUCGCCCACGUACGUGCUUAGGAUGUUGGCAUAAUGGCUUUAAGCGACC